This is a long non-coding RNA of Thunnus maccoyii (southern bluefin tuna), 7955 nucleotides long. RefSeq lists it as uncharacterized. Lineage: Eukaryota; Metazoa; Chordata; Actinopteri; Scombriformes; Scombridae. The record is from RefSeq and is a predicted model, not a curated record. The transcript has 4 exons.
CCACGGCGACAACGUUAGCUAAGUGACGUGAACAUGGCGUGGUGUAACGCCGUCGCUAUUUCAGUGUGUUUUCAGUUCAUGAAAGUUAAUUGUAACAUUUUGACUGGCUAAAAAGUCUCAUUCAGCGUUGGUUGUGCUAAAAGACCCUUUACGGAAUCGGAUAUUCAGUUUUUCCGGAUUUCAGGUUUGAUUGCCUCAGACUGAUCCUCUCAGAAUGAUCUGCUUGGCUGGACCAAACCCAUGGCACUGUGUGUGUGUUGGAUUACCACAAUUAACUGAGGAGAGAAAGACAGAGAGAGAAAGUGGGAGUGAGAGCCCAUGCAGCAGGCUGGGCUCUGAAGGCUGGCAGGUGGACGCGAGCUUGGACUCUCCCUCUAACACUCAUUAGUGGCUGGGAGCCGGGGCUCCUUGUGAGUGGGAAGGCAGGGAUCACAGCGGGGAAGUGAUGGCCCAGGCCUCUCACAUCCCGGCUCAGCCUUCGCUCUGGCUCUGCCAGCCUCUCCCUGGAAGCUCAUUAGUAAGUGCACUGAUGCAUAAGAGCUAGUCAUUAGCUGGGCUUUUUUUCCGUCUUCAUCUCUGUUUCCCCCGACACCAUGUCUGAUCCUGAAGACCGGUGGCAGUGCUGGUUUAAAAGACGAGAGAAGUCCAUAUUACCGCAGGUAUUCUAGACAUAUGGAUAUGAGACAGUGGUAGCCAUCAGAUUUUUUUUUUUUAUACAAAGGGUGGGGGGUGAGGGAGAGGGGUGUCAAUUUGGAGUUCUUCAAAUGGAGUCCAUCCAUAGCCCUUCAAACCAAAGAGUAAACAUUAGUGCUUGACCAGGACUUUGGCUGAGCGCCCCUUUCUUCCUCCAUGGUUGGUUUUGAUCUGGGGUAUUUGCUUUUGCUGCUGGCCAGAUCCCCUCAGCACCUGAUGGUUGCCCAGGCUCUGAGUAAAUAAGAUCUGGGGCCCAGGCCUCUUAGGGGCUGCUGGGUAAAUAAGGUCUCUGGUGUGUGUAGCGUGCCUGGCAGCAGGGUGAGCACUGGUGUGGAGGCCCCCAGAGACACGCCAUCCCCCUUUUCUAUAUCUAGCUGUUUAAUUCUGUUAUCCUCUCUAUCUUUAACUUACUCCAUUCUCCCUCCCUGACCACCACAUACACACACACACACACACACACACACACAGUCCUCCCUCUCAGCAGGCGUACUGAUUAAUGUUAGCCAGUUGUACUCAUAAACAUUUACAACUUCCAAAGCAUUUGCAACAGGACCCAUGUGUGCCCAAUAUCAUUGAAUUAACUUGAUCACUUGUUCAAGCAGAUUGCUCAAAUAAAAAGGAAACAAACCAUUUCAGAUUUUGUUGAGACAAUACCCAGUUAUUCAUAUGAGUUUUUAGUUUGCAGAUGGAUAUUAACCACUGUUAGAAUGUAAAGUCCUGUAAUUAAAAGUGUUUGAGCAUCAUGUAGGAUCAAGCUUCUGUCUCUGAGGAACAGUUUGGCAUUUAGUAAGUCUUUAAAUGUCAGAAAGAUAAAUGAUAAUGAUAGCACCUGUAAUAAAGUAAUUACUUUCACAAUGGUAAUCUUCCUAGCCCACAAACAAAUGGAUUUCAUAUACUACUGAAAGAUUAAACUAUUUAACACCUCAUGUCUCCAUGACUUAUUAAAACAAAAAGUGGCCAUAGGGGACCAGCAAAAUAUUGCAGUGUUGAUAUUGCUCAACCUACAUAUUGUGUAGCUUGUUUUGUAGCUUUCAGUUCAACAAAGGCAAACAGUAUCCUCUUGUAAAAGAUGCAACCCUUAUGCCCAAGUUUCCCAAGUAAUUGUAUAUUGUUCAGCAGUUGAUAUUAUAUAAGAACGUGCAUUCAGUGGUGGAGUAACAGAUAAGUGGAUAAGUUUAUAUGCUUUAGUGUCAUUCAGUCACUGUAAUGAGGGAUUUGCCUUUGUGAAAGUUUACUGAGUCAGAUCUCAUCAGCUUAAUGUGAUCUGGCGCUAGCCAUGCUGGAUCCCCUUAUGCCAAUUAAUCCAGGUUGUAACUCACAGACUCCUGCUGACCAAUUCACAUCCAUUGUUGAUAGUUUUUGGCUGCAGGAGCCUUAAACCUCCUUGUUAGAGCCAAAAACCACAAGAAACCCACCACCUCUUUCAGCCCCAUCAUAUUGUCUGUUGAUUGCCAGCAAUUAGUAAAGCCAGGCGGGCUGAGAAAUGACAAGAUGGGGCAUGGCGAUUGCAAUGCAUGAGCGUUGUUGGCUCACACUCCAGCUGAAAGCCUCUACAAUGUUUGUUAACCCUGGGGGUCAGACUGAUUCACUAGCGCAGACAGAAAACAAGAUUUAUGUUGCACAAAUCAAUACGCAGUCAGACUUUUACCAUUGUGGAACACCAAUCCAGGCACUUCUCUCUAUCAGUCUAACAUGACACUAAUGUGUUUUUAUUCCUGUUUAACCCAGCCAGUGAUGAAUCUGUUGGCAGGCCAAGACAGAGACAGUGAGAGGCAGGCCGCCCUUGAUUAGUUGGGGAACACAUGGCAACAUGCAGAGGCUGAUGCAGUGGCGUGUCAUGGAGGCAAUGGCCUAUCAGUCUUCAGGUUUCCUGCUGGGAGUUGUUUAUCCACUGUUUAUUCAUUGUGAGAGGAAUCGGCAAUUUACAUCCCAGCGCCUGACAGUGUAUCAAAUAAACUAAUGACAGUGUACUUGGGUGCUGAUCCCACUCAGUGCUGUCUUAAGUAAAUUAGAAUGAAUGCAGUUCUUCAAGUUCUCCUCACUGGGAGUGUUCACUAACCAACCUAACCGGUCCUCUUUAUUCUCCCUGCCAUCAGCUCUGAUCUCAUUAACAUUGCUUGUCAACUGAACACAAAAGGACACACACCUGGCAGAACACAUGCCACAAACAACUCCAGAGUAAAUUAUUGUACAGUAGGAAGCUCUUACAAGCUGGCAGGCCAAUAAUGUAAAAUUUGCUUAAUGUCCAACCCCCGCUUACCCUGUUAAAGGAGGAAAUUGGAAAGUGACAUGAGUGACAAGUGGUAUUCUCUGAGCAUUGACCAGCAGGCACAAUAGAGGAGCUGAGCCCGGUGCCAAGCUCUAUUUCAGGGGCUGCAUUCCAAUUGAUUAGGAGGCUUGUGAAACAAACGCUGGUGACAGAAACGAGAGUACGGCCCUGGCAACUGUUGGGCACGGUGCCAGGUGUGCAGUCUUUCCUCGCAGCUCUCUCUCUCUUUCUCUCUCUCUCUCUCUCUCUCUCUCUCUCUCUCUCUCUCUCUCAGUUUCUCUCUCAUACACACAUUAUUGGAGCAUUAAUGACACCCACAAUGUGACCACUGGGAUAAGUUAGCAGCAUUAUCUCUCUGUAUGUGAUUAUGUAUUGGACCAGCUUUGCUUGUUUCCUUGAAUUCCACUAAUAGAAAGGUUGUGAGCCAGAACUCUUGAAAUGAUUAACUGCUUUUUACUGUAAAGGGCAUUUUACAGGAUUUUUGGAACGUAAAAAUAUUCCUAUAUCUGCAUUAAAGGCAGUCCUUGACAACGAGUCUCAGAUUGUGCCUCAGUGAAGUAUAAUUCUGAAGUGCUUUGAGUAUUUUGGCCUUCAAACUAUACAUCUAUGUAUAUGUGUAUGUGUAUGUGAGUGUGGCAUAGAGAUAUUGUGUGUGAGGCUGUGUGUGUGUGGGUACAAGGGCAAACGGGUGCAUGUGUCUGUGCAUAUGCCUGGUCUUAGCAGCAGCACCCUGUAAACCCCGGCUUUUCUUUAUAGUGAAGUUGAUUGGAUAAACAGUCUGAGUCUGGAUUAUUGUACUGGAAAAUGAAAGCAUAUGCACAAUUUGCAUUUUAAUGAGCAAGUGAGCAUUAUAAAACAAACUGUUCUGGCAACAGCAACUCUUACAAUAAAACUGUGGCUUGUUAUAGCAAUCAGAUAUUUUAUCAACACAUAUUUGAGCACAUUUGUAGAUCAGUUAUCAUUAUAAUUCCAUUGUGACCACUUAGGAUGGAUUUAGAAUUCAUUUUAAAUUAAUUUGAGCAGCUUUUUGUUUUAUCUUGUUUUGGUUUUCUGUAUAUUCAGUAUACACCAUGUCAUGUGUUGCAUCUUGCUCUUUGCAAAUCUGCUUUGAUUGUGACACGUAUGAGUAAGUCAUGCAUAAAAUUUAUGCAUGGCUGAUGCAAAGUUCAGUAGGCCUGCGCCAAACAAAAUGCUGUUCAAUUAAAAGGGAAGUAAUGGCAUCCUAUAUAAUAAAGGAUAUCUGUGCAUACAUAAACUGACAGAAAAGCAUGAUGGCUCAUUCACGUCAUGCUAUGUAAUUUAGUUAAUGCAUUUCCCCUUGCUCUUUAAAACACUUGCACAUUCAAAUUUGCCAUCAUAAUCUCUAUGACAGAGGACAUUAAUUAUGUUCGUUGGCUGAUCGCUGUUUCUUCACAACAUCCCUGAUUAAAAUUUCACACAUUGUAAUGAUGUGCUUCAGAGCUAGAAGCUGUGAAAUUUACUAAGCAGUCAGCGAGCUUGAAUUCUUAUUCUUGGGUGGUUCACCCAGCACAAAAAACCCCACAUAUAAUCCAAAUCAAAGCUGUUAAGUGCUUGAGGAAAAGCUUUAUUUACAUGCUAAUGGCAAUAUAUCUUAGCAACUUAUUCAUUAAAAUAUUGUGCAAAUGAGGGAACAACAAAGCAGUAACUUCUCUCCAGAUAUGUGGGUUCAAAUUUCAUAUUUGGGAAGUUUAAUUAAGCAAUAGAUUAUAUUUUGCAAGGAGUGUUCACUUUAAUGAAUCUCCAGAGACCGCAGAUAAACACUCCAAUAGUAUCAAAGCAUCCAUCUCUUUAAUGGAUGCGAAAAUUAGGGAUGUAAAUGGCUUUGAGCCUUUAUUUUCAUUGCUCGUGGGAAUAUUUACCGGAUGCAGGCGACACUUAUGUAACCUACAUUAUGCAUAUACUUUCAUUUUUGGAAACCACAUGAAUUGUGGUUCACCAUUUUCAAGGACAAACACUAAACACUUAUUUAAAGCAUGCUUUUAACAGCUGCACCUGUCAAAAAAAAUGAAGCAAGGAAGCUUUUCAUCUUUUUUUUUUUUUUUUUUAACCUAAUUUUAAGUGGAUUUAAAUAUGCAGACUAUCUUAAACAUUGUGAAACACUGCUAGCACAGAUUCUGAUUCUCCCUCUUCUGUUUGGGUGAGCUCUUAGUUCUACCACAGAGCAUAUCUUGAAAGAACCACUGGCCAUUUUAGCUUUUCCAAUAAGAUGUUUGCCUGAGUGUGGCUCUAUAUUCUGCAAUCCCGAAACAGUGCAGAGUCAGUGAACCCUGGUACAUUGUGUGAUGGAGGAGUGCUACGUGCCCAACAUUCACCUCUGCGAGGCCGGCUGUUGUUUAUCCCUGUAAUGUCCAUUUUAUUGGGAAUCUCAGCGAGCCUUCACACUACCUGCUGUGCUCAGCAGUGUGGAGAAGCCAGGGCCAGUAGAGUGGUGGUCAGUGCCUGUCAAUCACAAUCACAAGGAUCAGUUAGCAGCCAUCAGUCUGAGAAAGCAUACCCAGAUGUUGCCUGUCUUCUAUCUCUUGAUGUUCUUCUUUCAUAUGUUGUCCUUUUUCCAUCACUUGUUGUUUGAGCUUUCUACUUUUACACACUAUAAACUAAUGUUGUUGGACACUGAUUAUUUUACUCCAUGUUUGUUUUAAUGAUUAUAUUGCUUAGAGAUAUAGAGAGAAAUAUAUUCCUAAAGUUAAAGAGGAUGGAAAAAAAUGUGUUAUUUUCAACCCCAAAGGCGGCUGUUUGUUUCUGUGUUUGUGCUGGAGCCUAUAAAAGGGAGGGCUGAUGUUGGGGAAGAGAGCAGUCAGAGGUGAUAAGAAGGGAGCAUCACAAUAUACUCAAGCUGCUGCAAAACAAACACAAAACAUUGAUUAUAUCAUCUUCACAGACACCCAAAGCUCACCAUAGUUGAUGUUUACCUGACAUGAAGUAAACAGCACGUUGGACUGUAGACUUCUACUCUGCAUUUCAUUUGCUGCCGUGCCCCCGGUAUAUGUACGUCUCUGACCUGUUCCCGCCCCUAAUUUCCCCCAUCAUAUUCAGAGCAGACCUGCCAACAGUCAGCUUCAUUACAGCCAAUAUCUUAAAUCACCUCUCAUGUGUUUCCCACCAGUUUGGAGCUUGGUCUCCUCUGAAUCGCAGUCAUUUUAAUGUUCCUGUGCUGAUUGCGGGUGCAGGUGGUAAUACAUUAAGGGACUGAGACAGCCAGUGGCACAGUGCUGAAAGACCUUUAUCCAUUUGCACUAAGUUUCCCCUCACAUUCGGAGGCAUGUCGUUCUAAUUAGGCCAAUGGUUUUGACUGUGGCCAUAUUCAUAUGGGACAGCUCACUUUAAGUUGUACAACAAGGUGAUUCUACAUCAUAUAUAUUCCACCAGGUCAAUAGAUUGUGCCAUGGUCUAGGGAAUUUCAAGAAGAAAUUGUACAUUAAUGAAAGUGGAGAAUGACUGGAGAGAAGAAUUGCAACAGGGUUACUGCUCUUUUCCUCUCCAUCUUUUAAGUAGAGGAGCCUCACAUCUCGUGAGAGAUGAGCAUAUCUGGGGUGUAAAAUAUUACAGAUGAUGCUUUUUUGUUUCUGUGGCGGUACAAAUGAAGACGUGUUUAGAGCUACCUCAGCAGAAAGUCUAUUUACAGAUUUGUAUAUGAAAUAAUUCAUGUGAGGAAACUUGUGUUUCACAGUGCUGCAUGACAAAUCAAAGGUAUUGGUUCAAUUCUCUAAAAACAACUUGUCUCUAUGUUUGAACCACAGUGAGCUCCCAGUACGUCUGUCUCUCAAUGAUGAGCUCUUCUGGCAGGUAAAAGCUUCAGAAAGCCCUCGGUCCAUUUCCAUUCUAGCUUCCAGCAGUGUGAGUGGUGUGACAGCCUCUUGGGGCAAAGGGAUUAUUGAGAUCAGGCCUCCCCCAGCUCUAUGCCUCUAGCCCAGCCCGCCAAGCUAGCCCAGUCGGUUCCUCAAGCCCCCCAGUGUCUUACAGAACAGCCCACCAGGCGCACAGAGAGCAAAGAGGCACCAGGGACCCCUCUAAUUGUCCAUGCUUUGGGCGGCUCUUUGGCAAGCCAGCAUGAAGAAGGCCCCCAGUCCCUAGGCUGUCCCACUGCUCCCUACUCAGCCCUUGCUCAGAGAUUCUGAGGACGAUAUAUCUGCUUUGAGGCUUUAUGUUUCUGAGGCCGUCAUAUAGUGCAGCUGGAAAUUGUGAAUUUCUCUGAAAGUGUGCUUUCAGCAGGUCAGUGGUGGUGUUAGAGCAGGGUCAUAUUCAAAACUCUUCAAAUGAUCCACAUGAUUCUUGGCUUAAACAUGUUGUGAAUUGUAUUCAGUGUUUCUCUUGCACAUUUGAAAGUGUUAGUGCAUUUGCUGUUAAUUUUGGAAGUCAAAAUCCCAACAAAAUAUACAUGUUUAUUUUUAAAGAGUACGCAAUAUACUGUGCAUAUUUUUUACAUAGAUAUUUGUUUUGAAUCAUUUUGACAUAGAUAUUUCAGUGGAAGUGUGAUCUGUCAAUAAAUAUUUGUCAUGAAAAAGCACCAAAAUAUGUUUAAAGUGUAUGUUUGAUGUGUGUAAAAGUGGCACAGGGGUAAUCGGGAUAUUCUUAGACAUUUUUCCAAUAGUUAAGGAAUCAGUAUAGGUUAUCUGGUUAACAUAGUUGCAAAAAUAUCAGCUGUGUAUAUAUCAGUAUGCUGCAAGUAAUAUAACUGUAAUAAUCUGAACAUUGUGAAUAGAUACUAUAGUUAAAAAUACCCAUAAACAGGAACAAUAACACAUGCUUUGUUAAUUUCAUAUAUUUCUAUUUGUUGUGUCUCAGAGAUAUAAAAUUUCUAAAACAGAGCUGCUGUUAACGUACUAGUGAGAGCUGGAGGAACGGCUGCUGGGAACUGGAUGAGGACUGACAAGGCCACCCAUACAAAGGAAGGGGCAGCCUCCUGUCAUCCAGUGGGGGGAGGGGAGGCCAAUGAACAUGUACAGCCACAAUAAUAAACACACAAUUACUUUGA